UUUUGAUCAAGAAAUGCUGAAUGUCCAUAAUUUGAAUUACUCCAGCUCAAGGACCUUACUUUUCCAGAGAUUUUCCGUCAUCUUUAUGGAUGUACUCUUUGUGUAUGCUGUCCGUGAGUGCUGUAAAUGCAUUGAUGGAAAAAAAGUGGGUAAAGAACUUACAGAAAAGCCAAAAUUUAUUCUGUCGGUAUUACUUCUGUGGAACUUCGGGUUAUUAAUUGUGGACCAUAUUCAUUUUCAGUACAAUGGCUUUUUAUUUGGAUUAAUGCUACUCUCCAUUGCACGAUUAUUUCAGAAAAGGCAUAUGGAAGGAGCAUUUCUCUUUGCUGUUCUCCUACAUUUCAAGCAUAUCUACCUCUAUGUAGCACCAGCUUAUGGUGUAUAUCUGCUGCGAUCCUACUGUUUCACUGCAAAUAAACCAGAUGGGUCUAUUCGAUGGAAGAGUUUCAGCUUUGUUCGUGUUAUUUCCCUGGGACUGGUUGUUUUCUUAGUUUCUGCUCUUUCAUUGGGUCCUUUCCUGGCCUUGAAUCAGCUGCCUCAAGUCUUUUCCCGACUCUUUCCUUUCAAGAGGGGCCUCUGUCAUGCAUAUUGGGCUCCAAACUUCUGGGCUUUGUACAAUGCUUUGGACAAAGUGCUGUCUGUCAUCGGUUUGAAAUUGAAAUUUCUUGAUCCCAACAAUAUUCCCAAGGCCUCAAUGACAAGUGGUUUGGUUCAGCAGUUCCAACACACAGUCCUUCCCUCAGUGACUCCCUUGGCAACCCUCAUCUGCACACUGAUUGCCAUAUUGCCCUCUAUUUUCUGUCUUUGGUUUAAACCCCAAGGGCCCAGAGGCUUUCUCCGAUGUCUAACUCUUUGUGCCUUGAGCUCCUUUAUGUUUGGGUGGCAUGUUCAUGAAAAAGCCAUACUUCUAGCAAUUCUCCCAAUGAGCCUUUUGUCUGUGGGAAAAGCAGGAGACGCUUCGAUUUUUCUGAUUCUGACCACAACAGGACAUUAUUCCCUCUUUCCUCUGCUCUUCACUGCACCAGAACUUCCCAUUAAAAUCUUACUCAUGUUACUAUUCACCAUAUAUAGUAUUUCGUCACUGAAGACUUUAUUCAGAAAAGAAAAACCUCUUUUUAAUUGGAUGGAAACUUUCUACCUGCUUGGCCUGGGGCCUCUGGAAGUCUGCUGUGAAUUUGUAUUCCCUUUCACCUCCUGGAAGGUGAAGUACCCCUUCAUCCCUUUGUUACUAACCUCAGUGUAUUGUGCAGUAGGCAUCACAUAUGCUUGGUUCAAACUGUAUGUUUCAGUAUUGAUUGACUCUGCUAUUGGCAAGACAAAGAAACAAUGAAUAAAGGAACUGCUUAG
Molecule: long non-coding RNA, 1347 nt
Filed under: Homo sapiens (human)
Lineage: Eukaryota; Metazoa; Chordata; Mammalia; Primates; Hominidae
Description: long non-coding RNA NONHSAT160558.1
Source: RNAcentral